RNAcentral lists this long non-coding RNA (209 nucleotides) under Mytilus galloprovincialis (Mediterranean mussel). Lineage: Eukaryota; Metazoa; Mollusca; Bivalvia; Mytilida; Mytilidae. The record is from RNAcentral.
GUACGAAUGCUUGUAGCAACAAGAAUAAUCAAAUCGUUGAUAUGGCUGACGAUGACGACGAGGAUGAUGAAGAUGAUGGUGAUGAUAAUUCGGUAGAUGGCGUUGACGAAAUUGAAGAUGAUUGAUCAUUCUAUGGAUUGACCUUCUUCAUGACCUUAAAAUGUGGUGAUUCUGUUGUUAAAAGAACUUUAAUAUAGAUCUUGAAACCC